AUAUCAAUAAGCGGAGGAAAAGAAACUAACAAGGAUUCCCCUAGUAACGGCGAGUGAAGAGGGAAAAGCUCAAAUUUUAAAUCUACCUGGUUCCCAGGUCGAAUUGUAAUUUGAAGAAGCGAUAUCUGUGUUGAGGUCUGGUUCAAGUUCUUUGGAACAAGACAUCAUGGAGGGUGAGAAUCCCGUGCAUGAUCAGACCAAGAUACUUAAUAUUCGUUUUCUAAGAGUCGAGUUGUUUGGGAAUGCAGCUCAAAUUGGGUGGUAGACUUCACCUAAGGCUAAAUAUCAGCGAGAGACCGAUAGCGAACAAGUACUGUGAAGGAAAGAUGAAAAGCACUUUGAAAAGAGAGUUAAAUAGUAC
This 361-nucleotide ribosomal RNA is filed under the name uncultured fungus. RNAcentral describes it as "eukaryotic LSU rRNA". It matches the Rfam family "Eukaryotic large subunit ribosomal RNA", at positions 40 to 398 of the family's 3401-position model. Lineage: Eukaryota; Fungi. The record is from RNAcentral.